UGCAAAUGAUUAUCUCACGAUGGUCUUCUAAGCCUCUGGCACUGAUGACACUGCCUAAUGGCAAAACUGAUGCAGCUCU
Anguilla rostrata (American eel) is the source of this 79-nucleotide small nucleolar RNA. RefSeq annotates it as small nucleolar RNA SNORD35. The record is from RefSeq and is a predicted model, not a curated record. The transcript has a single exon. NCBI's taxonomy places the organism in Eukaryota, Metazoa, Chordata, Actinopteri, Anguilliformes, Anguillidae.